CUCUGAGCUGCUGUGCUGGGGCUGCUGCCAGACAAGGUAGACUUGUCAGGCUUCAAUCAACAUGAUUCCGGCCUAAAGGGAAAAUGUCUUUCUCCACAACCAGCUUGGACACCUCUUGUCAGCAGCAAUUUCAAAUUCACCAGUGUAACCCUUGAGGACUGUCCUACUGCUCCUGACCUGUCCUACUGAGAAAUCUCACAUGAGUGGAGCUAGAAGAAAAUGCAGAGAGGAGGAAAGCAGAGAGCAGCUGAGUUCUUACAGAUCAGCCCUACACAGCCCCAUGUCUGCCCAGGAGUGAAGAGGAGCAUGGCACCCUGUGCAGCUCUGCUCUUGAGCUUUCCUUUCCAUGAGCAAGGAGGCUUGUGAUAAAUAGGAAGCUUUGUGAGAACAGCAUGGCCCGUGAUGAAAUGGCCUGUAGUGCAUCACUCAUCAUCACAGCCUGGAUUUUAAAUGAGCUGCCAAAGAGAGAGCCUCUCACCUCCUCCCCAGUCCUUGGCUUCCAAAACAGAUAUUUUUUUUACUAUGAGUGGAACAAGGACUUGUAGCCUGAAAACUGGAAACAAAAAUGAAAGAAAAUUAAAAAGCUGAAUUUGUGUAUUUGGUAAAUCUUAAAGUGUCCAUUUUAUUGCAUAAAUAUCUGAAUAGGCAGUCUGGUCUCCAUACAACAGGUGCCAUUUGGUGUUUCUUGGGACACUUCCUUCUUUCUUUGCAUAAUGAAAGAGACAGAGCAUCUGGUUUCUCUGCUUCAUUUUAAAUGCCAGUGCUUAUUGUGUUAAUAUAUUUACAUUCCAAUUUUCUUCACAUGUAGUAAAAAGGAAAUGCUUUGAGGCUCUUCUACAUGGAAGCACAUUAAAGUGCUUGAUUUUUAGGCACCAGUAGCAGAUGUACUCAGAGCCUGGAGUUCAACCAUGGAGUGAGGAGAACAGACUUUGGGGAAUGGAAUUCCCAUCUAUGAAAGCAGUUCCUGAAUCAAUGAAGAAAUUUUCUGACUUAUUCCAUUAAAUGCAGCCAGCCUUGGCUUGUGCUGGGAGAUGGAUGAAAAUCUGUCUAUAAAAAAGUAUGGAAUGCGACCUUCCAAAUGGUCUUUGCUCUUGAGCACAGAACAGCGUUGCAGGAAUGCCAGGAUGCUGGCUAAUCCAGAAAGGCAAGUACCAGGUACAUUUUCUUCUGUAAUACUCAGGCCCUGCAAUCUUUUAAAGCAGUUGCAGCACCUUUCAAACACGCAGUGGAACCCAUCCUUAUAAGGUGGGAAAGCUCCAUGUUCUGCUGUUAGAAGAUAGGAAUGUGGGCUCGGCAAGGAUUGCUUCACGUGAGCCCUUUAUCUGAGAAACUGGCGAUAAAACUGAAGAAGUUCACGUGACACAAGAAGAAUUUCUCUCUUAUCUAAAGGAAGCUGGAGAUGUCAAGUCAGAGGUACAAUACACAGGAUGAGUUACGAGAAGGAAAUGAUGUAAAGAGGCCAGACAUUUGGAAAUCUGCCUGCUUGCCUGUGUCCUAUUUUGUGCCUUGGAGGAUUACACUGACAUGAAUACAAUAUCGAUUUUAAAAAUCAUUGACUGGAAGCUUGAAUCUGUCAGCUGAAUGACAAGAUGAAAAAAUCCAGAGUCCUUAGGACCCUCAAGUGUGCCAUCUCUAUUUUUGACCUCAUCUCUGUUUUGGCUUGUUUAUGUCUAUCUUUGACAUUGAACUGGGAGAAAGUGAGGGAGGAUUUUGAGAUAAGCCUUUCAAUCUAUCAGUUGUCAUUUCCCUCAUACAAUUUUUUUCUGAAAGUAGCACCCCCUAUGCCUCUGAAAGUACAGUGGGGGAAGAUGCUGUACUAUCAAAACAGUUCAUUUGCCUCUUACCUGACACCCACAAAGUUUGCCUGGAAGAGAUUUUUCAAUCAUUUAAACCUCGUUUUAAGAUGGCUUGUCUUUAAAAGCGAAGAGGAAAAUGUUAUUUCUUGGUAUAGAAUAUAAGCCAGGUGUUAAAUUCCAUCUAUUUCCUCCACACUCUUUCCACAGCCUAGCUAGAAACAUCUUGUCCCAUUGUAAGAGCCUGUGUGGUCCUCAGCUUCUCUUGACACGUCACUUCAGGCAGUGUCUCUCUGCAUGCUCCCUGGUUCAUCUUGCCAUCAAAACCCUCUUGCUUCCAUCCCUCAUGCCACUGUUCCUGCCUAUGUUGUGUUUUACCUCUUUACAGCCUCUCCUUCCCCAUGUUUCCUUUUGCCUGGUCUCAGUGCUUGGCUGAAAUGCUGCUUUUCAGCACAGUGUGACGGAAAGCCAGGCAUCAAUCAUCCCUUGUCCAGUCCGUGGACCCCAGAAAAAGCAGUUUCAAGGCAUAGGACUCCCGGUGAAACCAGAGGGCUCUGAGGGAAGGGCCACAGUCUCACCUGGUCCCCAGGAAGCAUGGACCCAACAGCCCAACACUCCCUGUUUGGCCAUGAUAUCUCCAAAACAAAACCCAGGUACCACAGGAAGAGGUCACCAGCAGUACUGUAGUUGUGGGGCUGUGAAGCCAUGCUAUUCAGGCAUGGCUUUUUAUCGAGAAGCCUCAUCCUUCAUGAAAAGGAUGUUUUUUUAAAGAAUAGCCCUGGGUUAUUUUUAUCAAAGACAAUGUGGCCACUAGAAGUAGCAUAACGGGGAUCAGCAUGAUUUACUUUUUUCCAGGACAAUGGCCAUUGUUCUGGUAGAGCUGAGGACAGUUUGGGCUCUUACCAAUUGCCAUUUUCAUAUAAACCAGGGCAAAAAGCAAAACAGAACCUGACUAGUCAGCUGGGCAGAGCUGCAGUGGUUUCUCUAUUGCUAGUGUAACUAAAAUGUGGUAAAAACACAAUCCAGUCUCUCAAGCCAGCAGAUAGGAUGAAAAAGAGAGUCAGUGGAAUCCUGCUUUUUUUGGCCUGAGUAGCCUGAUGAAAACUGGCCCUGCUCUGAGCUGGCAGCUGGACCUGCUGUCCUCCCAGGGCCCCUUCCAAACUGGAUUUCCUGACUGUGCUCAAGAAUGACGGACUUCUACUGGCCUGCACAAAAAUUUGACUUGAACUUCCACAAAAAGUAAAUCAGAGUGAGAUUCAAGAUCUUAAUUCUAUUUUGAAUUACAAGCCCAGGACUCAAUGUGGUUUUCUGGUUUUGUUUUUCAUCAAGCCCAGGGUAUCCCCUGGUGUGGUGCUCCCCAGCAGCCAACCCCCUGGCCUAGAGGUUCAGGGAGUGCCUCCUAUCUGGCAGUCCAUGCAUGUGCAUGUCCUCCCUGAAAGCUACACAGUGCAGUGGUAGCUCUUUCCAAGACUUCUAUCAGAGCUGGAAGGAGUGAGAGAUGUGUGUGUAGCUAUAUAUCCAAAUGCAAGGCUUGAAUUUUUCUCAGUGGGACUACGUGUAGAGUGAAUGCUGCUUCUAUUCUUAGAGGGAAGCUGGAAGGCAAGUACUGGUCCUGUUCCUUCUUCAGAGCAUCCAUCCCAGGCUAAUUUGAAAAUAGAGACCUACACUGGAAUCAGGCUGGUCUGAAUGCACCAACAGAAGAGGAUGGUACCAGUGUCAAGGGGUGCACAUACAUGCAGCUCUGGGCUGUGCUCAGGGGAAACACCCAGACCAGUAAUGACCACGGAGGGCUGGAGGUCUGGCUUGUGCAGACAGGGACCAGGGGAAAUGGACCUGCUGUCAGGAAGGAUAAGUUUGCCCCAAGGAGACUGGUACUUCUGCUGAACCAGACUGGAGAACAGUGGCAGGAAUUUUUCAUCCAUUUGCACCCACCUCUAAUUUCUUCCACCAGCACUCCAGCAGAACCGAAGUCAAUUGAUGUUUUAAAAGCCCUUGGAGCUGUUUUUUUUCUCUCAGGGUGUUUUAGAUGCAUGCAAUAGACUGUGACUAUGCUCCCAGAAACCUGUUGGAUGGGCUGGAUUUUGGAAAUAUGAAUGUUAAGUCACAGAUAAAUGAACAAAGGAGAUGAACAGGUACAAGAGAAAAUAUUGCUGUAAAUCCAAGGUGUGCCUCCUCUGUAGCUUUAUUUGGGAAUCAGGAAGAAACCAGUACUCAGUCCCAUUCAAGCUAAUGCUAGUUUUGGUAUUGGGCAUACAUAAUUUGGAUGGAGCCCAGACCCUCUUUCUCCCUCCUUUUUUAAUUGUUCUUGCCAUAAUUACCACCAUUGUUGUAUAUAGUUGUGGUUUUUUCCCUUGCAUGCAAAAGCUAUGAUGCAAAUGGGAGUCACUCCCAGAGAGUGCCCAAGGGCUGGGAUGCAACUGCCCUGAGAUGGGUCAUGCUGCAAAAUAAUAAGGGUCAGGGAUUCACUCCAAACCAGAUGCCAUUGGCAAACGUUGUGCCAUUGCUGUGCUCCAAAAGAAGCACCAGAGCCCUAAGUGUUGGUCAUGCCCCCAAAAAAAAUCUGCACAGCUGGGCUGGGACUCACUUCUCCUCCGUUGGGGUCAUACAGGAGGGGUUGGACUUUUUCUCCCCAUUUCUCUCCCUUUUCUCCCCCUCCCCAGGGGUUGGAUUUUUUCUCCCCUUGUCCUGGGCAAACAAGGAAACUGGCCCUGGACAGGAAACUCAGCAAUUGCACAGUGCUGACAAAUGUCCAGAGACUAUAAACCACAAAAGCAUGGAGAAAAUAGGGAGCCUUGUGCUCUGCACUUUGUUUCUCAUGUGUAGGGAUCUCAGGUGCCAGUCACAAAGAGACUAGAUGUCUGCAGACAAACCCUGAUAUUUACAUUUAUUUUUAGCUAAGGCAAUGUAAUUUGUGGCUAAUGUAAUGGUUUACUAAAACAGAAUCAGAAAGGAGUGCAGCUAUUUAUGUCUCUCAGCAAGACCCACACAGCCUGUUCCAGCUCUGCAGCCCCAGCCUAAGCCCCGGGCACAGAGAUGACACAAUGCUGUGAGCUCUGCUCAGCUUUUCUAUUAACAGACACUAUUUGAGCAUGUUAUAAAGUGGAAUUCCCAUCACCUUAGCCUCAUACACUCUCUGCUUUCCUCUCAUUGAAGGGAGUGCUAUGAUGCUGAACUGAACUCAGCACAAGGGAGACCUGGGUAUUUUCAAAGUCCAAAACGGAGCCUUACUUGAGUCAGGUGAUGAAGAAAUACUCAUCUUGAUUUUCUACUGUAUCAGUUGUGUACUUUUUGCUUGUCACACUGUCUGUCCUUCAAAGAAUGAUGGUUUAGGGAUUCAGGGGGAUUCAGGGGGAUGUUUGGUUACUUUCUUUGCCUUAGCAAAAAACCAUCCUUGAAUAAAGAUCCCAGAAACAUUAUUAACCCCAAAGCAGUAUGUUCCAGAAAUUAUGAGUAUGUGGAACAGAGUCUAUGCAAGCACACUAUGAAAAUUAUUUCCAAAUUUUGUCUUCUGUCCUGUCACAGGAUACUACAACAAGAUGCUGUCAGGACAGGAGUUAACCCUAACUUUUCAACCAACCCCCUCAUCAACCAAGUUGAUAUAUAUUUCUGUAGUGCUAGGGCUGAAUUUGGCACUGCCUUGGCAAUGGUUUGC
Passer domesticus (house sparrow) is the source of this 5445-nucleotide long non-coding RNA. RefSeq lists it as uncharacterized. Lineage: Eukaryota; Metazoa; Chordata; Aves; Passeriformes; Passeridae. The record is from RefSeq and is a predicted model, not a curated record. The transcript has 3 exons.